RNAcentral lists this ribosomal RNA (207 nucleotides) under uncultured bacterium. RNAcentral describes it as "partial 16S ribosomal RNA". It matches the Rfam family "Bacterial small subunit ribosomal RNA", at positions 568 to 774 of the family's 1533-position model. The record is from RNAcentral.
AGCGCAGGCGGGAAGGCAAGUUGGAAGUGAAAUCCAUGGGCUCAACCCAUGAACUGCUUUCAAAACUGUUUUUCUUGAGUAGUGCAGAGGUAGAUGGAAUUCCCGGUGUAGCGGUGGAAUGCGUAGAUAUCGGGAGGAACACCAGUGGCGAAGGCGGUCUACUGGGCACCAACUGACGCUGAGGCUCGAAAGCAUGGGUAGCAAACA